Molecule: long non-coding RNA, 698 nt
Filed under: Phoenix dactylifera (date palm)
Lineage: Eukaryota; Viridiplantae; Streptophyta; Magnoliopsida; Arecales; Arecaceae
Description: long non-coding RNA (PDAC_LNC019153)
Source: RNAcentral
GCCUGCACAUUAUAGUUCCACAUUUCUAGCCUGUGAGGGGGGCCUACCAAAGUAUCACAUUUUCAGCCUGUGGCAGGGCCUGCACAUUAUAGUUCCACAUUUCUAGCCUGUGAGGGGGCCUACCAAAGUACCACAUUUUUCAGCCUGUGACGGGGCCUGCUAUAAUAACAAGAUAAACCCAAAGUCCCUUUUCAUACAAUCCAGUUUACAUCCACACAUCAAUUCCUUUAUAUUUAUUUCCGGCUUUAAACUAACCACGGUCACAUUUCCAGCCCGUGACGGGGCAACCAAUAUCACAUAGUUAGUUUAGUGCACCACAUCCAUCAGUCCAAAUAUGUAGGUGUAAGUUAUGCGCAUGCAUGCAUCCAUCAUAAUACCAACCACAAGCGAAUACGAUCAUAAUAUCAACCACAAGCCAACACGAUCAAAAUAUAAUUUAGUAUAAAACUAUUUUCGAUUUAUCUGGAUUAUAGCAUAUCAUACAUAUCUAAGUAUAAAAAUAUUAUAUCAUGCAGGAUUGGCGUACAAGGAUCCUUACUGAAAUUGUAGACUGACUCAAAUACGGUCCGAAUCACAACCUACGCGCUGGGGUGCUGAGUCCCCUGAUCAAACCUCCUGGCUCCGCCGACUCUUCCUCUACAACAUCAAUUAUAAAUCACAACUAAAUUAUUAAUAUUUAAAUAUUCUAAACCAUAAUU